RNAcentral lists this ribosomal RNA (1450 nucleotides) under metagenome. RNAcentral describes it as "bacterial LSU rRNA". It matches the Rfam family "Bacterial large subunit ribosomal RNA", at positions 1472 to 2897 of the family's 2925-position model. The record is from RNAcentral.
UCGGAGAAGGCUAGGCCAGCUUGGCGUUGGUUGUCCAAGUUUAAGGUGGUAGGCUGAAAUCUUAGGUAAAUCCGGGGUUUCAAGGCCGAGAGCUGAUGACGAGUCGUCUUUUAGAUGACGAAGUGGUUGAUGCCAUGCUUCCAAGAAAAGCUUCUAAGCUUCAGGUAACCAGGAACCGUACCCCAAACCGACACAGGUGGUCGGGUAGAGAAUACCAAGGCGCUUGAGAGAACUCGGGUGAAGGAACUAGGCAAAAUGGCACCGUAACUUCGGGAGAAGGUGCGCCGGCUAGGGUGAAGGAUUUACUCCGUAAGCUCUGGCUGGUCGAAGAUACCAGGCCGCUGCGACUGUUUAUUAAAAACACAGCACUCUGCAAACACGAAAGUGGACGUAUAGGGUGUGACGCCUGCCCGGUGCCGGAAGGUUAAUUGAUGGGGUUAGCGCAAGCGAAGCUCUUGAUCGAAGCCCCGGUAAACGGCGGCCGUAACAGUAACGGUCCUAAGGUAGCGAAAUUCCUUGUCGGGUAAGUUCCGACCUGCACGAAUGACGUAACGAUGGCGGCGCUGUCUCCACCCGAGACUCAGUGAAAUUGAAAUCGCUGUGAAGAUGCAGUGUAUCCGCGGCUAGACGGAAAGACCCCGUGAACCUUUACUGUAGCUUUGCACUGGACUUUGAGCCUGCUUGUGUAGGAUAGGUGGGAGGCUUUGAAGCGUGGACGCCAGUUCGCGUGGAGCCAUCCUUGAAAUACCACCCUGGCAUGCUUGAGGUUCUAACUCUGGUCCGUAAUCCGGAUCGAGGACAGUGUAUGGUGGGCAGUUUGACUGGGGCGGUCUCCUCCUAAAGAGUAACGGAGGAGUACGAAGGUGCGCUCAGACCGGUCGGAAAUCGGUCGCAGAGUAUAAAGGCAAAAGCGCGCUUGACUGCGAGACAGACACGUCGAGCAGGUACGAAAGUAGGUCUUAGUGAUCCGGUGGUUCUGUAUGGAAGGGCCAUCGCUCAACGGAUAAAAGGUACUCCGGGGAUAACAGGCUGAUACCGCCCAAGAGUUCAUAUCGACGGCGGUGUUUGGCACCUCGAUGUCGGCUCAUCACAUCCUGGGGCUGAAGCCGGUCCCAAGGGUAUGGCUGUUCGCCAUUUAAAGUGGUACGCGAGCUGGGUUUAGAACGUCGUGAGACAGUUCGGUCCCUAUCUGCCGUGGACGUUUGAGAUUUGAGAGGGGCUGCUCCUAGUACGAGAGGACCGGAGUGGACGAACCUCUGGUGUUCCGGUUGUCACGCCAGUGGCAUUGCCGGGUAGCUAUGUUCGGAAAAGAUAACCGCUGAAAGCAUCUAAGCGGGAAACUUGCCUCAAGAUGAGAUCUCACUGGGAACUUGAUUCCCCUGGAGGGCCGUCGAAGACUACGACGUUGAUAGGCUGGGUGUGUAAGCGUUGUGAGGCGUUGAGCUAACCA